Sceloporus undulatus (fence lizard) is the source of this 1401-nucleotide RNA transcript. It is a transcript of the gene named MYST/Esa1 associated factor 6, with no coding region annotated. The transcript is spliced from 9 exons. Lineage: Eukaryota; Metazoa; Chordata; Lepidosauria; Squamata; Phrynosomatidae. The record is from RefSeq and is a predicted model, not a curated record.
UCCCUUCUUCCUUCGAUGGCGGCUCUUCAUGGCGGCGGCGGAGGGGGCGGAGGGGGGGUCUCGGGGGGCGGCGGAGGGGGGGUCUCCGGGGUCUCAGGCCCUCCCCCGAAGGCCGGAGCCCCCCCGCAGAUACCGGACACACGCAGGGAGCUGGCCGAACUGGUCAAGAGGAAGCAGGAGCUGGCGGAGACUCUGGCCAAUUUGGAACGCCAAAUCUAUGCCUUCGAGGGCAGCUACCUGGAGGACACCCAGAUGUACGGAAACAUCAUCCGCGGCUGGGACCGCUACCUCACCAACCAGAAGAACUCCAACAGCAAGAACGACCGGCGGAACCGCAAGUUCAAGGAAGCUGAGCGCCUCUUCAGCAAGUCCUCCGUCACCUCGGCCGCCGCAGUCAGCGCAUUGGCUGGAGUGCAGGACCAGCUCAUUGAGAAACGGGAGCCUGGCAGCGGGACGGAGAGCGACACGUCUCCGGACUUCCACAACCAGGAAAACGAGCCGAGUCAAGAGGAGGCCGAAGAACUGGACAGCGCUGUCCAGGGAGUGAAGCCCCAGAAGGCCGCCUCUUCUGCCUCGGGCAGCCACCACAGCAGCCACAAGAAGCGGAAGAACAAAAACCGACACAGCCCGUCUGGCAUGUUUGAUUAUGACUUUGAGUAUGUAUAUUAGGUUAGGCUGGCAAGGUUUUUAAAAUAAGGACAAAAGCACGAUGGAGGAUUGAUCUCAAGCUGAACAAAAAACCCCGAGCUGACUACUAGCCCUUCCAUGCUGGACCGUCCCUUCUCCUGACCGACCUUCCUUCCGCCUGCCCUGGUCGGCCUCAAGAGACUGAAUAAGCACAACGCUCCUUCCUAGAUCCUGCGCUGCCUCCUCCUCCUCCUCCGUUCUGUGUGGCCCGAAUCCGAGGGCGGCUGCCUCUUCUUAUUCCUGAUCAAUCUCCUUUGGGGAAGAGAGCCUUCUUCUGACCGGCCAGUCUUCGUCCUGACUAUUUCUGAGCGUGUCCAGUAGCCAUGGCAAGAUGCUCCCUUCCAUGUUUCCUUCUGCUUCUCCGACACCUCUGGUUGAAUUCUCCCCCCUCCCUUCUUGUAUCUUCAUUUUUUAAAAAUAAACCUUGAUAUUUAAUUUUCCAUUUUUUUAACAAGUGAGAUGAAAUGUGCAGCCUGUUUGUCCGUUAGAACCUUUUUCUUCUCUGGAGCCUGAACUUGGUGAGCCAUUUCCAAAAGAAAGAAAAGAGGUGUGUGUGUGUUUGAGGGGGGGGGGUUGCAUUGUGCCGCUCUCCUGGAGCAUCUGCUGCCAAGAUGGGCAAAAGAGACCUGGUGGAGGGGGUGGCGGUGGGCAGGGCAGAGACUCCGUUUUCCUAUUCGUGCCUGCUAUUUGUAAAUAAAAAUGAUAUAAAAUUUC